CCUACGGGGGGCUGCAGUGAGGAAUAUUGGGCAAUGGGGGCAACUCUGACCCAGCCACGCCGCGUGCGUGAAGAAGGUCCUCGGAUUGUAAAGCUCUUUCGGACGUGACGUUGAUGACGGUAGCGUCUAAAGAAGCACCGGCCAACUUCGUGCCAGCAGCCGCGGUAAUACGGAGGGUGCGAGCGUUGUUCGGAAUUACUGGGCGUAAAGGGAGUGUAGGCGGGUAUGUAAGAUAGCGGUGAACUGCCGGGGCUAAACCGCGGAACUGACAUGAGGACUGUGUGGCUAGAGUGAGGGAGAGGUAGGCGGAAGACGGGGGGUAGAGGUGAAAUGCUGAGAUAUUGGGAAGAACACCGGUUGCGAAGGCGGCUAACUGGCGAGUUACUGACGCUGAGGCUCGAAGGUGUGGGGAUCAAACAGGAUUAGAGACCCUAGUAGUC
Molecule: ribosomal RNA, 440 nt
Filed under: uncultured bacterium
Lineage: Bacteria
Description: partial 16S ribosomal RNA
Rfam family: Bacterial small subunit ribosomal RNA
Source: RNAcentral